UGAGGUUGCAGCAGACCACCAAGACUUUACCUUGAUCAGCAUGCACUAGCUCUUCCUCGCUCGGACUUUUUUCAUCCCAUUUGAUUGGCUGAUCUUCUUCCUCCUCUUCUCCACACAAUUCUUCUUCCACCAAAGAGACAAACUUUCUUUUUGGGCAGUCGGCUACAAUAUGCUCAAAACUUUGGCACUUGAAAUACUUACAAGGGUUGAAGGUGAUGGUAUUGGAAUGGUUGGGGUUGCUGAGGAUGCCCUUGUCCUUCUUUUGAGGUAGAUGGGAGGUGCUGGCUUUGGAGGAUGCCAAUGUCUUCGAUACGGAGCUGCCCCAGUUGGACGCUCUAUCUCUAUAUCUUGGAAAGUGCGAAUUACUUAUUCUUAGUUAUUGCUUCAUGACUUUUAUCGCCAAUCCUAUCAUGUCGCUUAGCAUCCAAUAGGGUUGAAGUUACACAACUU
RNAcentral lists this long non-coding RNA (450 nucleotides) under Phoenix dactylifera (date palm). Its description in RNAcentral is "long non-coding RNA (PDAC_LNC004940)". The record is from RNAcentral. Lineage: Eukaryota; Viridiplantae; Streptophyta; Magnoliopsida; Arecales; Arecaceae.